RNAcentral lists this ribosomal RNA (458 nucleotides) under uncultured bacterium. RNAcentral describes it as "bacterial SSU rRNA". It matches the Rfam family "Bacterial small subunit ribosomal RNA", at positions 328 to 803 of the family's 1533-position model. The record is from RNAcentral.
GAAUUCAACUCCUACGGGAGGCAGCAGUGGGGAAUAUUGGACAAUGGGCGCAAGCCUGAUCCAGCCAUGCCGCGUGAAUGAUGAAGGCCUUAGGGUUGUAAAGCUCUUUCGACGGGGACGAUAAUGACGGUACCCGUAGAAGAAGCCCCGGCUAACUUCGUGCCAGCGGCCGCGGUAAUACGAAGGGGGCUAGCGUUGCUCGGAAUCACUGGGCGUAAAGGGCGCGUAGGCGGCGUUUUAAGUCGGGGGUGAAAGCCUGUGGCUCAACCACAGAAUGGCCUUCGAUACUGGGACGCUUGAGUAUGGUAGAGGUUGGUGGAACUGCGAGUGUAGAGGUGAAAUUCGUAGAUAUUCGCAAGAACACCGGUGGCGAAGGCGGCCAACUGGACCAUUACUGACGCUGAGGCGCGAAAGCGUGGGGAGCAAACAGGAUUAGAAACCCUAGUAGUCCAGGCGUU